UCCCCGUUCUCCUAGGCAGUCCCAUCAGAGUGCCCUCUUACGAGGUUGCAACUGACAGCAGGGGUUGCGCUCGUUAUAGGACUUAACCCAACAUCUCACGACACGAGCUGACGACAGCCAUGCAGCACCUGUGAAUAUGUCCAUGGUUUCCCAUGGAAAACCCCGUUUCUGGGGCGAUCAUAAACAUGUCAAACCUAGGUAAGGUUCCUCGCGUAGUGUCGAAUUAAACCACAUGUUCCACCGCUUGUGCGGACCCCCGUCAAUUCCUUUGAGUUUUAAUCUUGCGACCGUAGUCCCCAGGCGGAUCACUUAUCGCGUUAGCUACGACACUAAUUCUGCAGAGCAGAACUAACGUCUAGUGAUCAUCGUUUACAGCGUGGACUAC
RNAcentral lists this unclassified non-coding RNA (385 nucleotides) under uncultured bacterium. RNAcentral describes it as "contains 16S-23S intergenic spacer region". The record is from RNAcentral.